Molecule: long non-coding RNA, 562 nt
Organism: Sardina pilchardus (European sardine)
Lineage: Eukaryota; Metazoa; Chordata; Actinopteri; Clupeiformes; Clupeidae
Exons: 4
Source: RefSeq, a predicted model, not a curated record
ACUGCCUCACAGUCAACCCUCUCUAUCUAACUUCCUCGUCUGCUCCUGAACCAGUGAACUAUACUUACUGCGUAGAUGAGUAGAUUGUCAAUGAAGAAAGCUGACUCAAUGGAAAUGAUUGGGAACUUUUCUGGAAAGAGUCCCCAAGACUUCAACCUUUCCAGUGGCAUGGAGUACCUGGGUGGCAUCUGGGCAACUUCAUCCAUGAAAGGCCUUUGGCAUAUUGGACGCUGGUUUGGAAUGGAGAGAACUCAGCUGAAGGCUUCAGGCAGAGCGUAUCUGCAUCAGCGCAAACGUACGUAAAGCAACAAGAUAAAGGCCAAUGGCCAAAAUAUCAACGGCAUCAGCCAAAAUAUCAACGGCAUCAGCCAGAAUGUAACAGCAGAAUGCAACCGCAUCGGCCAGAAUGCAGCGGCCAAACUAGAGGAUGAUGUUCAGCAUCCUUCUACAAUAGAAGCGCCAUAGCUGCUGACCAAUCAACAGCAAAACAUGCACAUGUGCACACAUGUGCAGAAGAGGAGGAGAAUGAGAUCAGGACAAACUUUGACAUCUCAAAAGACCG